CGGCGCGGCGCCCCCGUCGGCGGCCAUUUCGCGCGGCACCGGGGGCCGCGCCGGCCUCCGCAAGCGCCGUGCUCGGGCGUCAGCGCGCCCAGGCCGCGGAGCCGGUUGCCCGCAGGUCUGCCUUACCUUGGAGGCUGCUUUUAGUAGCACUCUAGCCUCAAAAGCACAGAGGCAUCCAGCGCGCGCCAAUGAAAAGGAAGGGAACAAAUCGGCGGCCUAGCUGUGCUGCUCGGGGCUAGCGGAGAGAGAGGCUGCACAUGAACUUUUUCUCGGGCAGUGCCAGGUGAAGCAGCCGCUGCCCUCCUUGCUGUACCGGCGUACCUGUUCAUGGAACUGGCAAACUGAUUCCCAUUUUCUUUACUGCAUAAUUUUUCAGGAAGAUCAAUUCACCAGUCUGAUUCAGUGCACAACUCCAAGACAGAGAGGGUGACAGAAAGACAGGAACAGCCAAGGUUGAAAGAGGAGUAUGGCGUCUACUUCAGCCAACCUAAGGUUCAGCAUUGAUCCAGAUUUUAUCUCAGUAAAUGCCAUUUCAAACAUUUGCUAGCAAGUCAAGCAACACUUCAUACAAUUCAUUUAGGAAGUCUGCUUUCAUAAACCCAAGUUUGCACUACAUAAAUAGUACCUUGUUAAAAUGCUGCUCCAAAAACAUCUGUUCUUCAAGAGUUUAGCACCAAAUUGUUCUCCCUGUUGGCCCAGUUGCAUGUAAGUGCCAUGGAUAGAUAGAUACAUAUGCAAGCCAGAAA
Molecule: long non-coding RNA, 746 nt
Organism: Dromaius novaehollandiae (emu)
Lineage: Eukaryota; Metazoa; Chordata; Aves; Casuariiformes; Dromaiidae
Exons: 2
Source: RefSeq, a predicted model, not a curated record